CACUAUCUCUCAGCAGAGAGAGGCCCAGGCUUUAAUGAACAUGGAGACUGAACUGUCCUCUGACCUGCUGUAGUGAUGCUUCCAGAACACUGGCAAGACGCCCUGGAGAAACUUAGCAUUACUGCAGCUGGUUUGUAUGUAGCCAGUAGGUAGACUGAGAACUCUUCAGGUUAGUCAAGCCAGAUCCUUUCUCUAGCACUAAAUUUACUUUCAAACUUUUAUGAAAGAGAUGGGGGGAUGGGAAGAUAUGUGUAAGGAUGCAAGUAACAGAAAAAUGAAAGGAAAAUAAACUGAAGCAAGGCCAUUGAAAUGGCAUCCAAAACGUAGAGAGGGACAUUUUUAUGAUUUAGGGCUUAUUGGUGGUGGGCGUGACAAAUGUAUUUUGCUAUUGAACUCAAAACACAUCAUAAACCUCAGUAGUAUUUUCUUAAAUCAUAUUUUUUCCCCUUGUCUCCUAUAGGAAUAGAUAAUUGGUACCACCGUAGGGAGCCUGCCUCUGUUAGGAUCAGGAGCAAAAGAUCGCGGUCACUCAUUCUGAGAUACAACUGGAACUCUCUCCUUUGCAAACAGUUUUUUCUCUUUUCUCCUUCAAAAGCCAAAUCCUCUGGGCAGUGA
This 615-nucleotide long non-coding RNA is filed under the name Chrysemys picta bellii (western painted turtle). RNAcentral describes it as "lncRNA (ENSCPBG00000027668.1)". Lineage: Eukaryota; Metazoa; Chordata; Testudines; Emydidae. The record is from RNAcentral.